Long non-coding RNA from Candoia aspera, 937 nucleotides. RefSeq lists it as uncharacterized. The transcript is spliced from 3 exons. The record is from RefSeq and is a predicted model, not a curated record. Lineage: Eukaryota; Metazoa; Chordata; Lepidosauria; Squamata; Candoiidae.
GUCAAACCUCCCCUAAGCCCAGCAGCCCCACCCUGGCUCCUUCUUCCCCCAAGCCUCUGGGGAAGGCAGAAGAAAGCAUUCCCGCAUGGGCAGAGAAUUGGAGGCAGCCAAAGAAUGCAGCUGCACCUCCCUUGCCUUUCAGAGAUCCAUCAUCCUAGCUCCUGUUCCAUAGCAUCUUCAGUAACCCUGAAGACUCAGAGAUAGCUCUUCUGUGAGGGCCUGAAAAUGAUUCCUGAGUUCUAGUGAUGACAAUGCAAACAUAAAAAGAAGUAAAGCCAUGGGAAGCAAGAGAAAGGAAUCACAGAUGCAGAAAUGCAGCAAAUACUACUUUUGCAAACAGAAGAUUGACUUUACAUGAAAAAGAACAGACCAGCUCUCUCAGCUGCCACCACAUUCCUAUUGACUAUCUGACAAAUUACAAGAGGAUGAAGUUACCAAUGGAUUUUCUACUGGUGCUUUAACAAAUUGAUGUUUUAUAAAAAUUAUAACCUGACUAGCAGUUACACGCCUGGGGCACAAAGGAGCACAAAAAAAUUGGACAUAUUAACGAAGGCUGAUUUAUAGGUAACAUUCCAGUGAUAGGGAACAUUCCAGCUAAGCAAGACAACAGGACUUGUAUUUAAACAUGUUUACCACCACCAUCUGUCUAAAUGAACCUAAGCAUCCUUGGAAUCCCAGCUGGUCUUUUAAGCCUCUCCAGUGUCACAUGACACUGAGGUAUUACUUUGUGACAAAGCCUGACAUGCUUUUAAAACUUGACAGAACCACGAAAUGCCUUUUUUCCCAAAAUGGAAAGCUUGACAGACUAAAAUUCUUAGUGACUUUUCAAUACACAACUCUUUUACACAGUAGCUUGUCCAAUUUUAAUUGGCUAACUCCAUUAUUCAGAUAUAGGUUUGCUUAGAUGGAUCCAGCCCACUCAGGAAAUUUUGUAAUU